This 716-nucleotide ribosomal RNA is filed under the name uncultured bacterium. RNAcentral describes it as "bacterial SSU rRNA". It matches the Rfam family "Bacterial small subunit ribosomal RNA", at positions 51 to 749 of the family's 1533-position model. The record is from RNAcentral.
ACACAUGCAAGUCGAACGGAGAUUACUUCGGUAAUCUUAGUGGCGAACGGGUGAGUAACGCGUGGGCAACCUGCCCUCUAGAUGGGGACAACAUCCCGAAAGGGGUGCUAAUACCGAAUGUGACAGCAAUCUCGCAUGAGGAUGCUGUGAAAGAUGGCCUCUAUUUAUAAGCUAUCGCUAGAGGAUGGGCCUGCGUCUGAUUAGCUAGUUGGUGGGGUAACGGCCUACCAAGGCGAUGAUCAGUAGCCGGUCUGAGAGGAUGAACGGCCACAUUGGGACUGAGACACGGCCCAGACUCCUACGGGAGGCAGCAGUGGGGAAUCUUCCGCAAUGGGCGAAAGCCUGACGGAGCAAUGCCGCGUGAGUGAUGAAGGAAUUCGUUCCGUAAAGCUCUUUUGUUUAUGACGAAUGUGCAGGUUGUGAAUAAUGACUUGUAAUGACGGCAGUAAACGAAUAAGCCACGGCUAACUACGUGCCAGCAGCCGCGGUAAUACGUAGGUGGCGAGCGUUGUCCGGAAUUAUUGGGCGUAAAGAGCAUGUAGGCGGUUUUUUAAGUCUGGAGUGAAAAUGCGGGGCUCAACCCCGUAUGGCUCUGGAUACUGGAAGACUUGAGUGCAGGAGAGGGAAGGGGAAUUCCCAGUGUAGCGGUGAAAUGCGUAGAUAUUGGGAGGAACACCAGUGGCGAAGGCGCCUUUCUGGACUGUGUCUGACGCUGA